CAAGUUACAUUCAUAGGAAUAUUAUUAUUUACAUUAAUAAAAGAAUUGUGCAAUUCAAUUUAGCUUGA
RNAcentral lists this transfer RNA (68 nucleotides) under Nabis ferus. RNAcentral's name for it is "tRNA-Val". Lineage: Eukaryota; Metazoa; Arthropoda; Insecta; Hemiptera; Nabidae. The record is from RNAcentral.